ACGCUGGCGGCGUGCCUAAUACAUGCAAGUAGAACGCUGAAGGAGGAGCUUGCUUCUCCGGAUGAGUUGCGAACGGGUGAGUAACGCGUAGGUAACCUGCCUGGUAGCGGGGGAUAACUAUUGGAAACGAUAGCUAAUACCGCAUAAGAGUAGAUGUUGCAUGACAUUUGCCUAAAAGGUGCAAUUGCAUCACUACCAGAUGGACCUGCGUUGUAUUAGCUAGUUGGUGGGGUAACGGCUCACCAAGGCGACGAUACAUAGCCGACCUGAGAGGGUGAUCGGCCACACUGGGACUGAGACACGGUCCAGACUCCUACGGGAGGCAGCAGUAGGGAAUCUUCGGCAAUGGACGGAAGUCUGACCGAGCAACGCCGCGUGAGUGAAGAAGGUUUUCGGAUCGUAAAGCUCUGUUGUAAGAGAAGAACGAGUGUGAGAGUGGAAAGUUCACACUGUGACGGUAUCUUACCAGAAAGGGACGGCUAACUACGUGCCAGCAGCCGCGGUAAUACGUAGGUCCCGAGCGUUGUCCGGAUUUAUUGGGCGUAAAGCGAGCGCAGGCGGUUAGAUAAGUCUGAAGUUAAAGGCUGUGGCUUAACCAUAGUACGCUUUGGAAACUGUUUAACUUGAGUGCAAGAGGGGAGAGUGGAAUCCCAUGUGUAGCGGUGAAAUGCGUAGAUAUAUGGAGGAACACCGGUGGCGAAAGCGGCUCUCUGGCUUGUAACUGACGCUGAGGCUCGAAAGCGUGGGGAGCAAACAGGAUUAGAUACCCUGGUAGUCCACGCCGUAAACGAUGAGUGCUAGGUGUUAGACCCUUUCCGGGGUUUAGUGCCGCAGCUAACGCAUUAAGCACUCCGCCUGGGGAGUACGACCGCAAGGUUGAAACUCAAAGGAAUUGACGGGGGCCCGCACA
This 910-nucleotide ribosomal RNA is filed under the name uncultured bacterium. RNAcentral describes it as "bacterial SSU rRNA". It matches the Rfam family "Bacterial small subunit ribosomal RNA", at positions 33 to 927 of the family's 1533-position model. The record is from RNAcentral.